This 598-nucleotide ribosomal RNA is filed under the name uncultured bacterium. RNAcentral describes it as "partial 16S ribosomal RNA". It matches the Rfam family "Bacterial small subunit ribosomal RNA", at positions 896 to 1494 of the family's 1533-position model. The record is from RNAcentral.
UUAACUUAAAGGAAUUGACGGGGGCCCGNACAAGCNNNGGAGCAUGUGGUUUAAUUCGACGCANNGNUUCNACCUUACCUACUCUUGACAUCCUGAGAAUCCCUGAGAGAUUGGGGAGUGCCGAAAGNNACUUAGAGACAGGUGCUGCAUGGCUGUCGUCAGCUCGUGUCGNGAGAUGUUGGGUUAAGUCCCGUAAUGNGCGCAACCCCUAUACUUAAUUGCCAUCNGNUANAGCUGGGCACUUUAAAUAGACUGCCGGUGAUAAACCGGAGGAAGGUGGGGACGACGUCAAGUCAUCAUGGCCCUUACGAGUAGGGCUACACACGUGCUACAAUGGUCGGUACAGAGGGAAGCGAAGUCGCGAGAUGGAGCGAAUCUCAUAAAGCCGAUCUUAGUCCGGAUUGCAGUCUGCAACUCGACUGCAUGAAGCUGGAAUCGCUAGUAAUCGCGAAUCAGAAUGUCGCGGUGAAUACGUUCCCGGGCCUUGUACACACCGCCCGUCACGCCAUGGGAGUGGGUUGUACCAGAAGUAGUUAGACUAACCGCAAGGAGGUCGAUUACCACGGUAUGAUUCAUGACUGGGGCGAAGUCGUAACAA